CCUUUCGCUUAUUGAUAUGCUUAAGUUCAGCGGGUAUCCUUACCUGACGGGAGGUGAAUCCCACCCAAGUUGUACCUACCUCUGUUGCUUUGGCGGGCCGCGGUCCUCCGCGGCCGCCCCCCUCCCCGGGGGGUGGCCAGCGCCCGCCAGAGGACCAUCAAACUCCAGUCAGUAAACGAUGCAGUCUGAAAAACAUUUAAUAAACUAAAACUUUCAACAACGGAUCUCUUGGUUCUGGCAUCGAUGAAGAACGCAGCGAAAUGCGAUAAGUAAUGUGAAUUGCAGAAUUCAGUGAAUCAUCGAAUCUUUGAACGCACAUUGCGCCCUUUGGUAUUCCGAAGGGCAUGCCUGUUCGAGCGUCAUUACAACCCUCAAGCUCUGCUUGGUAUUGGGCACCGUCCUUUGCGGGCGCGCCUCAAAGACCUCGGCGGUGGCGUCUUGCCUCAAGCGUAGUAGAACAUACAUCUCGCUUCGGAGCGCAGGGCGUCGCCCGCCGGACGAACCUUCUGAACUUUUCUCAAGGUUGACCUCGGAUCAGGUAGGGAUACCCGCUGAACUUAAGCAUAUCAAUAAGGCGGGAGGAA
Molecule: ribosomal RNA, 584 nt
Filed under: Botryosphaeria dothidea
Lineage: Eukaryota; Fungi; Ascomycota; Dothideomycetes; Botryosphaeriales; Botryosphaeriaceae
Description: eukaryotic LSU rRNA
Rfam family: 5.8S ribosomal RNA (bases 209-362)
Source: RNAcentral